ACAUGUCCGCAUGAUUAAAGGUAUUUUCCGGUAGACGAUGGGGAUGCGUUCCAUUAGAUAGUAGGCGGGGUAACGGCCCACCUAGUCAACGAUGGAUAGGGGUUCUGAGAGGAAGGUCCCCCACAUUGGAACUGAGACACGGUCCAAACUCCUACGGGAGGCAGCAGUGAGGAAUAUUGGUCAAUGGGCGAUGGCCUGAACCAGCCAAGUAGCGUGAAGGAUGACUGCCCUAUGGGCUGUAAACUUCUUUUAUAAAGGAAUAAAGUCGGGUAUGCAUACCCGUUUGCAUGUACUUUAUGAAUAAGGAUCGGCUAACUCCGUGCCAGCAGCCGCGGUAAUACGGAGGAUCCGAGCGUUAUCCGGAUUUAUUGGGUUUAAAGGGAGCGUAGAUGGAUGUUUAAGUCAGUUGUGAAAGUUUGCGGCUCAACCGUAAAAUUGCAGUUGAUACUGGAUGUCUUGAGUGCAGUUGAGGCAGGCGGAAUUCGUGGUGUAGCGGUGAAAUGCUUAGAUAUCACGAAGAACUCCGAUUGCGAAGGCAGCCUGCUAAGCUGCAACUGACAUUGAGGCUCGAAAGUGUGGGUAUCAAACAGGAUUAGAUACCCUGGUAGUCCACACGGUAAACGAUGAAUACUCGCUGUUUGCGAUAUACGGCAAGCGGCC
This 660-nucleotide ribosomal RNA is filed under the name uncultured bacterium. Its description in RNAcentral is "bacterial SSU rRNA". It matches the Rfam family "Bacterial small subunit ribosomal RNA", at positions 187 to 848 of the family's 1533-position model. The record is from RNAcentral.